UCUAUACAGGAAGACAACUUAUGUCAGUGGCUCUCAACCGAUCCAGACUGCUGUACCCCUUUCAGAAAUCUGAUAUGUCUUGCAUACCCCCUAAGUUUUACUUCACUUUAAAACUACUUGCUUACAAAAUCAAACA
Long non-coding RNA from Chelonia mydas (Green sea turtle), 136 nucleotides. RefSeq lists it as uncharacterized. The record is from RefSeq and is a predicted model, not a curated record. Lineage: Eukaryota; Metazoa; Chordata; Testudines; Cheloniidae. The transcript has 3 exons.